RNAcentral lists this ribosomal RNA (1093 nucleotides) under uncultured Thalassiosira. RNAcentral's name for it is "partial Bacterial large subunit ribosomal RNA". It matches the Rfam family "Bacterial large subunit ribosomal RNA", at positions 1 to 1148 of the family's 2925-position model. Lineage: Eukaryota; Bacillariophyta; Thalassiosirophyceae; Thalassiosirales; Thalassiosiraceae. The record is from RNAcentral.
GUUAAGUGACUAAGCGUAUACGGUGGAUGCCUUGGCAGUUAGAGGCGAUGAAGGACGUGUAAGUCUGCGAAAAGCUGUGGUGAGCCGACAAAAUGCAUUUGAGCCACAGAUGUCCGAAUGGGGAAACCCACCUAUUUAUAGGUAUCGUUACAUGAAUAUAUAGUGUAACGAGGCGAACGAGGGGAACUGAAACAUCUAAGUACCCUUAGGAAAAGAAAUCAACCGAGAUUCCCCUAGUAGCGGCGAGCGAACGGGGAUUAGCCCUUAAGCAAUUAUGAACGUAGUGGAAGCCUCUGGGAAGUGGCGCGAUACAAGGUGAUAGCCCUGUACACGAAGUGUUUGUUUUUGUGAAAUCGAGUAGGUCGGGACACGUGUUAUCUUGACUGAAUAUGGGGGGACCAUCCUCCAAGGCUAAAUACUCCUAACUGACCGAUAGUGAACCAGUACCGUGAGGGAAAGGUGAAAAGCACCUCUGUCAGAGGAGUGAAAAAGUUCCUGAAACCGUACGCCUACAAGCGGUCGGAGCAUAUAUAUAUGUGACGGCGUGCCUUUUGCAUAAUGAACCUACGAGUUACCAUGUCCAGCGAGGUUAAGGGGUUGAGCCCCGUAUCCGUAGUGAAAGCGAGCCUAAAUAGGGCGUAUAGUUGGAUGGGGUAGACGCGAAACCAAGUGAUCUACACUUGCCCAGGUUGAAGUCCGGGUAACACCGGAUGGAGGACCGCACGGAUAAGCGUUGAAAAGCUUCCCGAUGAGGUGAGUGUAGGAGUGAAAGGCCAAUCAAACUUGGAGAUAGCUCGUACUCCCCGAAAUGCAUUUAGGUGCAGCGUCGCGUGGUCCCUGGUGGAGGUAGAGCUACUGGAUGGCCGAUGGGCCCUGUGGGUUACUGACGUCAGCCAAACUCCGAAUGCCAUUAGGUGUAGCGUGGCAGUGAGACUGCGGGGGAUAAGCUUCGUAGUCGAGAGGGAAACAGCCCAGAUCAUCAGCUAAGGCCCCUAAGCGUACGCUAAGUGGGAAAGGAUGUGGAGUCGCGGUGACAACCAGGAGGUUGGCUUAGAAGCAGCCAUCCUUGAAAGAGUGCGUAAUAGCUCACUGG